This is a long non-coding RNA of Physella acuta, 193 nucleotides long. RefSeq lists it as uncharacterized. The record is from RefSeq and is a predicted model, not a curated record. NCBI's taxonomy places the organism in Eukaryota, Metazoa, Mollusca, Gastropoda, Physidae.
UUUUUUUUAUCCUCGGCGGCCAUCGAACCUGGGGCAUUCAGGGCACCUGCAAACCAGCCCUAGCAUCUUGUGGUGGUAAAUACCGAACAUGCUGCAAACCAAAUCUAAGAUGCAUAGCAAACUAUUGUCAGCGUUGAAUUUUAGAAUGAAUUGAAGCUUUGCCGUUCCGAUAAAACAGUGAUUAAGCGGCUUC